GUGGGGAAUUUUGGACAAUGGGCGCAAGCCUGAUCCAGCAAUGCCGCGUGCAGGAAGAAGGCCUUCGGGUUGUAAACUGCUUUUGUACGGAACGAAACGGUCCUGGCUAAUAUCCGGGGCUAAUGACGGUACCGUAAGAAUAAGCACCGGCUAACUACGUGCCAGCAGCCGCGGUAAUACGUAGGGUGCGAGCGUUAAUCGGAAUUACUGGGCGUAAAGCGUGCGCAGGCGGUGCUGGAAGACAGGCGUGAAAUCCCCGGGCUCGACCUGGGAAUUGCGCUUGUGACUGCAGUGCUGGAGUGCGGCAGAGGGGGAUGGAAUUCCGCGUGUAGCAGUGAAAUGCGUAGAUAUGCGGAGGAACACCGAUGGCGAAGGCAAUCCCCUGGGCCUGCACCGACGCUCAUGCACGAAAGCGUGGGGAGCAAACAGGAUUAGAAACCCCGGUAGUCC
RNAcentral lists this ribosomal RNA (450 nucleotides) under uncultured bacterium. Its description in RNAcentral is "partial 16S ribosomal RNA". It matches the Rfam family "Bacterial small subunit ribosomal RNA", at positions 354 to 796 of the family's 1533-position model. The record is from RNAcentral.